GCCGCUAGCUGCUACUUCGCGAUUGCUCUCUUUUCAUACAGAGAGCAGAUUCGUCGCUUAGUUAGUUAAUGUGCAAAGUGGAAUUUGAUUGCGUGUUUUUUUCAGUGCCUUUGAAUGCCUAGAGACUGUGAUUGGAUCAUGUUAGAGAUUCUGAUUUGAAUUGUACGAGAUUCCCUUUUGCUUCUAUAAUAGAUUCGGAAUAGAUUGUGGUUAGGUUUGGACAAGAUUCAGUAUGAGGAUAAUUGUAUGCACAAAACUGUUCAGAUAUGCAUAUUUGUAGUAAAUGGAAUGUACUUCUAUGUACUAAUGAGUAAAGUUAAGAUAAGUUCAGCGUCAAGAUGUCUGUCACUUUAUAGUGACAGAUUAUUUUGGCACAUCACGUAUCCUCUAAAAAAAUAUACUAAACCAAUCACAUAAAUCAAAAUCAAUCACCCU
Molecule: unclassified non-coding RNA, 435 nt
Filed under: Bombus terrestris (buff-tailed bumblebee)
Lineage: Eukaryota; Metazoa; Arthropoda; Insecta; Hymenoptera; Apidae
Description: misc RNA ENSBTSG00005027931.1
Source: RNAcentral